UACGAAGGGGGCUAGCGUUGUUCGGAAUUACUGGGCGUAAAGCGCGUGUAGGCGGUUGUCCAAGUUGGAUGUGAAAGCCUUGAGCUUAACUCAAGAAAUGCAUUCAGGACUGGAUGGCUAGAGGACCGGAGAGGAUAGUGGAAUUCCCAGUGUAGUGGUGAAAUACGUAGAGAUUGGGAAGAACACCAGUGGCGAAGGCGGCUAUCUGGACGGUUUCUGACGCUAAGACGCGAAAGCGUGGGGAGCAAACAGG
RNAcentral lists this ribosomal RNA (253 nucleotides) under uncultured bacterium. Its description in RNAcentral is "partial 16S ribosomal RNA". It matches the Rfam family "Bacterial small subunit ribosomal RNA", at positions 524 to 776 of the family's 1533-position model. The record is from RNAcentral.